UAUGCACUGAGAUGCUACAAGUUGCCUG
Molecule: non-coding RNA, 28 nt
Filed under: Mus musculus (house mouse)
Lineage: Eukaryota; Metazoa; Chordata; Mammalia; Rodentia; Muridae
Source: RNAcentral